RNAcentral lists this non-coding RNA (104 nucleotides) under Methylotenera versatilis 301. RNAcentral's name for it is "c-di-GMP-I riboswitch aptamer". It matches the Rfam family "c-di-GMP-I riboswitch aptamer". Rfam says of the family: GEMM was predicted in a large-scale screen for bacterial structured RNA regulatory elements. Genes associated with GEMM are involved in a diverse array of functions, including chemotaxis regulation, signal transduction, secretion and chitin. Lineage: Bacteria; Pseudomonadati; Pseudomonadota; Betaproteobacteria; Nitrosomonadales; Methylophilaceae. RNAcentral also lists the same sequence under 1 other name. The record is from Rfam by way of RNAcentral.
AUUAAAUAAAGGCAAAUCCAAAUGAAAAUUGGAGACGCAAAGUUACCGGUCUAAAGAAAGCAUAUUCAAUAUGAAAUGCUAUCAAUGGCAGCGGGGCCGCAAAU